GGCGCCAUCGUCUAUCGGUUAGGACACUGCCCUUUCAAGGCGGAAAGACGGGUUCGAUUCCCGUUGGCGCUACCA
Molecule: transfer RNA, 75 nt
Filed under: Candidatus Peregrinibacteria bacterium CG11_big_fil_rev_8_21_14_0_20_46_8
Lineage: Bacteria; Candidatus Peregrinibacteriota
Also listed under: 3 other names
Description: tRNA-Glu
Rfam family: tRNA
About the family: Transfer RNA (tRNA) molecules are approximately 80 nucleotides in length.
Source: RNAcentral